UCGCUCAGCACACGCGUGGACGUUUACGUCUUUCAGACGACGGGAAAAUGUCCCAAAGUUACAUGUUUUUGAUGCACUUAGACAAGUUUCAAGUUCCGCAAGAAUUGUAGAACAUUCUGAAAGCAUUGCGAAAGUUCCGUUGGUUAUUGCCGUGAUGCGUGUGUGUACGUCGUGUAGCUAGGACGGUGGUUAACAAAAACACAACCACUAGAACUCGCAUUUUUCAAGCAUUUUUAAUAUUUAAAGACCUGAAGUCCCAUCCACUAUUCCACGCAAUCGACUGGAAGCGAAUCAGGGAGACAGAAGCCCCUUUCAUCCCAGCCCCAGAUGACAGAACGGACACCGCUUAUUUUGACGCUCGGAACAACAUGCAGCAUCUCCAGAUGUCUUCUUUUGCACUUUGACCUCUUGAAUGAUAGUGCAAUCCACAACUCAUCAACAGAAGUAAUGAAACUAUUCCAGGAUGGUGGUCAACUUGGUCCAGUGGUUAGACUGCAGGACUUGCAAUCACAAGGUUGUAGGUUUGAAUCCUACUAAGCUAACUGUGGU
Asterias rubens (European starfish) is the source of this 549-nucleotide long non-coding RNA. RefSeq lists it as uncharacterized. The record is from RefSeq and is a predicted model, not a curated record. The transcript has 4 exons. NCBI's taxonomy places the organism in Eukaryota, Metazoa, Echinodermata, Asteroidea, Forcipulatida, Asteriidae.